UUAUUAUACGCCCGUCAAAAUUUUGACGGGACGUAUUAUGGUAUACAAAUGUCCGGUGUCCGUCCGUCUGUCUGUCCGUCUGUCUGUCCGGCGUAAACAUGUCGCACCGUAACUUGAGAACGACUUAUCCAAAUUUCAUGAAACUUUGUUGUUUCUUAUGAUGGUCAAAUGAUCUGUAUACUUUUUGGUGAAAAUAAGAUUAAAACUUUUUGAGUUACGGCACUUUGUAACUAAAACAGGGGUGUGUUUUUUUCACAUGUCGCACCGUAUCUCAAA
Molecule: long non-coding RNA, 276 nt
Filed under: Mytilus galloprovincialis (Mediterranean mussel)
Lineage: Eukaryota; Metazoa; Mollusca; Bivalvia; Mytilida; Mytilidae
Source: RNAcentral